CCCGCCCUGGGCCUCUGCUGCUGACUGCAUGGCCUAUUUUGUCUCAACACUCCACCUGCCAGUAUGAAAAUGACCCUGCUAGGAUGUGAAAGAGAGCAGGC
RNAcentral lists this long non-coding RNA (101 nucleotides) under Dasypus novemcinctus (nine-banded armadillo). Its description in RNAcentral is "lncRNA (ENSDNOG00000051796.1)". Lineage: Eukaryota; Metazoa; Chordata; Mammalia; Cingulata; Dasypodidae. The record is from RNAcentral.